Molecule: non-coding RNA, 481 nt
Organism: Pelobates cultripes (western spadefoot toad)
Lineage: Eukaryota; Metazoa; Chordata; Amphibia; Anura; Pelobatidae
Source: the annotation of a GenBank genome assembly
AGAUUUGAAUGGGUUAACAGAAGACAAAUCAGAUUUAAAUGAACAGUGUAACAAAGUAACAGAGAGCACAUUGUCAGAAAAAGUCUGUGAAUUAGAGGAUAGAGUUGAACAAAGAAAUGAUUUUAUUUGCCAGUUUACAAAUGAAGCUAAACUAGUGUGUGUUAAUACCAGAAAAAUACAGGCACAGAAUCUAAUCCCAGAACUAACAGAUACUGAAAAUGUAUCCUCACAGAGUGAUUUGCAGAAAUAUAAAUUCCAAGACAGAGCUGCAAAACUUAAUUUGAAAAUCCAUGAACAAUUAAUGAAAAUUGUGAAAUGUAUUCCAGUUUAUGACACGUCAGUGGAUACAUUUACUAAUGCUGAAAUGUUUGAGUCUAAUGUGGACAAAUACAGCCUAAAUGACGAACAAAGGAAUAGACUAUUUCAAAUAUGGCUGCCGACUCAAAUGGCAUGUAGGCUGACCACGCCUGUAAAAUUCGAG